RNAcentral lists this ribosomal RNA (504 nucleotides) under uncultured organism. RNAcentral's name for it is "SSU rRNA". It matches the Rfam family "Bacterial small subunit ribosomal RNA", at positions 16 to 509 of the family's 1533-position model. The record is from RNAcentral.
AUCCUGGCUCAGGAUGAACGCUAGCUACAGGCUUAACACAUGCAAGUCGAGGGGCAUCAGGACGAUAGCUUGCUAUUGUUGCUGGCGACCGGCGCACGGGUGAGUAACGCGUAUCCAACCUGGCCCUUAGUAGGGGAUAGCCCGGCGAAAGUCGGAUUAAUACCCUAUGUUUUCCUUUGAUGGCAUCUGAUUUGGAACAAAGAUUAAUCGCUAAGGGAUGGGGAUGCGUCUGAUUAGGUAGUAGGCGGGGUAACGGCCCACCUAGCCAACGAUCAGUAGGGGUUCUGAGAGGAAGGUCCCCCACAUUGGUACUGAGACACGGACCAAACUCCUACGGGAGGCAGCAGUGAGGAAUAUUGGUCAAUGGACGAGAGUCUGAACCAGCCAAGUAGCGUGCAGGAUGACUGCCCUAUGGGUUGUAAACUGCUUUUAUGCGGGAAUAAAGUUCGGCACGUGUGCCGUUUUGUAUGUACCGCAUGAAUAAGGACCGGCUAAUUCCGUGCC